This 429-nucleotide ribosomal RNA is filed under the name Gemmatimonadota bacterium. RNAcentral's name for it is "Gemmatimonadetes bacterium partial 16S ribosomal RNA". It matches the Rfam family "Bacterial small subunit ribosomal RNA", at positions 355 to 776 of the family's 1533-position model. Lineage: Bacteria; Pseudomonadati; Gemmatimonadota. The record is from RNAcentral.
UAGGGAAUCUUCGGCAAUGGACGAAAGUCUGACCGAGCAACGCCGCGUGAGUGAAGAAGGUUUUCGGAUCGUAAAACUCUGUUGUUAGAGAAGAACAAGGACGUUAGUAACUGAACGUCCCCUGACGGUAUCUAACCAGAAAGCCACGGCUAACUACGUGCCAGCAGCCGCGGUAAUACGUAGGUGGCAAGCGUUGUCCGGAUUUAUUGGGCGUAAAGCGAGCGCAGGCGGUUUCUUAAGUCUGAUGUGAAAGCCCCCGGCUCAACCGGGGAGGGUCAUUUGAAACUGGGAGACUUGAGUGCAGAAGAGGAGAGUGGAAUUCCAUGUGUAGCGGUGAAAUGCGUAGAUAUAUGGAGGAACACCAGUGGCGAAGGCGGCUCUCUGGUCUGUAACUGACGCUGAGGCUCGAAAGCGUGGGGUGCAAACAGG